CAACUUUCAGCAACGGAUGUCUAGGUUCCCACAACGAUAAAGAACGCAGCGAAAUGCGAUACGUAAUGCGAAUUGCAAGACCUCGUGAAUCAUCAAAAUUUUGAACGCACAUUGCGCUUCCGGGAAUUUCCUGGGAGCAUGCUUGUCUGAGUGU
RNAcentral lists this ribosomal RNA (154 nucleotides) under Navicula perminuta. RNAcentral's name for it is "partial 5.8S ribosomal RNA". It matches the Rfam family "5.8S ribosomal RNA". Rfam says of the family: 5.8S ribosomal RNA (5.8S rRNA) is a component of the large subunit of the eukaryotic ribosome. It is transcribed by RNA polymerase I as part of the 45S precursor that also contains 18S and 28S rRNA. The record is from RNAcentral. Lineage: Eukaryota; Bacillariophyta; Bacillariophyceae; Naviculales; Naviculaceae.